AUGGGCCCUAAAUCGUCCAACCUAAGAAACGUCCUGGUCGUCAGCCUUUGGGCCCUCAUGCAUGUUUAUAUUUUGAUGAUUUGGGCCUUGCACGCACGUGAUUUCUUCCGGAGAUGGCCCCAACACCACGAAUCACAAAGAAAGCAUGAGUUUGCCGACCAAACUGGAUCAGAAAGAGCACGAGGGACAGCGGGUGGCGCUGCCGCCCCUCCUAGGCAGCCGAAGAACAGCCGCCGGCCGAAUCACGGGAUGCGGGUCGGCGAUGUUGGUGGUGACGCCGGGAUUGGAUGGAUCCGGGCACGGACGAUGGCUCCCCGUCUCCAGCGGCGGCUCGAGUCAUGGAGGCGAUGCAGGUCGGGCGUGAGGCGAGCUUGGGGAAAGGGAGAGCGGGCGUGGAGGAGGCAGGAGGGUUCACCGGCCGGAGGGGCGGGGUGCGGACGCAGCAAGGGGAUCGGGCGCAAGGAAAGAAAACAUCCACUCGUUCCGCCCCCCACACACCGUCUCCAGCACCAUCGAGAACGCCCGCCACCGUCCGGCACGCACCACCAGCCGCCCGGCCUCCCAGGCGGACGGGCGCGGCCGAGCUUCGCCACGCACAGGCGUGCGCGGGCGAGCUCCGCCCCAGCCACGCGCGGCGACUGCGAGCUCCGCCACGGCUCCUCCCCGUGUAGCUCGACGUGCAGAGGAGGCUGGUUCCGAGGCGAAGAGGGAGAGCCAGGCGACGAGCGGCGUGCCGAGGAGGACAAGCCCGACGGGCACCAUCCAGAGCUCCCUGACGACGACGCCGGCUGCUUCCUGACGACGACGACGCCGCCGCCGCCGACGGCUGCUACCCUCUGCGCGGACGACUUCUGCUCGUGCCCGUGCGAGGGGCUGGUGCCGCCCGUGCGUGGCUCAUCGUGCCGGGGCCGCCCGUGGCCGGCGCGCUCGGGGCCUCCUCCUCGUUCAUCUCCAGGUCGCCGGCGAAGCCUCAGCCAUCCGAGACCCCAGUCCCACCAGCGCUUGAGCGGGCCGCCCGCGAACUCGGCAGCGAGCGACGGCGCCAACCGGGUCCGCCGGAACGCCCACUCGGCGGACGCGGAGGAGAUGGGCUGGAUCUUGAAAGGGAGAGGAGAGGAGAAAGAAAAUAAAGAAAGGGGAGAGGAGAGGAGAGAGGGGAGAGAGGGGCUGACGAGUGGCCCUAUGCAUGCAAAAUGCGCCGCCGCCGCGCGCCGCGACCACCGGCCCCCACCCCUCCGCCGCGUGCCGCCACUGCCGGCCAACGCCGCCGCGCCCACCCCUACCCGACGUGCCUCCAUCCCUGCGGUUUUCCACCGCCGGCGACAAUCAAAGCCGGCUCCGCACCUUCCCCAACUCAUCUUUCCCCUGCUCCUCUGUCGCUGCCGCUCUCCAUCGGCCGACCAACUCCCCCGAGUCAGCGCCGCCUCCUCCAUCUGGUUCCUGCUCGAUCUCCUCCAGGUACAGAUCAUCCACAAUCUCUCGCGACGGGAGAGGAGCCUCCGCGUGCUUCUUGUCGGGCGACAGCGCAGCCGUGCACCCUUGACGCCGCUCUUCCACGUGAGGAGAUACUGCCUGCGGCUCGGCCACCCCAACCCUAGGGCCGACGCCGUGGUCAUCGUCAAGAUCCCCUUCCCCUCUGACGGCGGUGGUGGCUGCGCGCUUCCCGUCGGCGGAUUCCACCACUACCUCCAGGUUGGGACUGGUGCGCGGGCGUCGACAUCUGUGUGCCCGAGAUCAUCAGAGUUGCAUCAGGCUGGCGCACAUCCUCCGCUACACCCCGACGCUGGAUGCGUCGACCUCAUCCCAUUGCCGCAGGAGAUAGAGGGCCCCCUGGACUGGGAUACCGGCGAGAUGGAGGGCAACUUCAGCGCUGACCAGAGAGCCAAGGUGGUGGUCGUGCUCUACAUGGUGCCCGGCGACCUUAACGGCCAGUUCCACGCCGAGAAGAUGGGCUACCACGAGAUGGUCCUGCUCCGCCCCCAGGGCGCCGCUGAGGUGGUCGUGCUGGCUGCCGAAUUCGAUAAUACUCGUAUUUCAUCCCCUGUGUCAGCUCAUUGGCGGAGUUCUUCUCUACAGGUAGCAGAAAAUCAUGCAACACACACGUUCAAUUAG
This 2112-nucleotide ribosomal RNA is filed under the name Triticum aestivum (bread wheat). Its description in RNAcentral is "partial small subunit ribosomal RNA". Lineage: Eukaryota; Viridiplantae; Streptophyta; Magnoliopsida; Poales; Poaceae. The record is from RNAcentral.